This 763-nucleotide long non-coding RNA is filed under the name Gallus gallus (chicken). The record is from RNAcentral. Lineage: Eukaryota; Metazoa; Chordata; Aves; Galliformes; Phasianidae.
UGUAUUCCCUGCAUUGAGAAAAGAGCUCUUGAGCCAAAUUUCUGUGGGUGACCUACUUCUACUAGAUACCUUUACUUCCUUUUAAACUCUUAAAGAUUUUGACUACUACUUACACACAGAAUUGUAUUUGUUCUACAAGAGAGCUAACUAAUAAAUAUAUAAAGCUAUCCUAAUUACAAGAACUAAAUCUGAAAGUAUUUUGUGCUUAUAAUGAAUUGCAUCAGGUAAAUAAAAUGUAUUCUGUCCAUUCAGUAUAGAAGUUCUGUCACCAAGAUAGAUGGACUAACGAGUAUAAAUAUUGGUGUGGCUGAAAUGCGUAACAUCAUCAUUAUUUUGCCAAGAAAAUGCUAACCUGUUUUAAUCAUUCUAUUCACAGCAUAAUGUAAAGUGAUUCAGUAGUAAAAUGAAUCUACUUACAAAUUGUUUUAUGGCCGUAAUUGCGGUCCCUUUUUAGAAUGUAAGUUGAUGAUGAUAAUUUUAUGGGCAAAUGAUUUUUCAAUUAAAAUGUCUUUUUCACAGAUAGAAUGUGAGUGUUCCAAACUGUUCCCAGUAACUGCAGACCAGUUGGGUGGAGGCAUAUAGAGCUGCCAAAUGUAUCAACCUCUUUUCAGCCUCAGCUGAAAGAACUCCUGUUAUAUACAUGAUUUAUUUCAGUGAUAAUUUACUUCUGCUACACACACAAAGUACCUUUAUGUGGUCCUGUUGAUAUCUAAUAACCAGCUUUAGAAUUUGCUUUAGAAUUUGGUAGCAACUGAUGUUUCCC